RNAcentral lists this ribosomal RNA (533 nucleotides) under uncultured bacterium. RNAcentral's name for it is "bacterial SSU rRNA". It matches the Rfam family "Bacterial small subunit ribosomal RNA", at positions 355 to 902 of the family's 1533-position model. The record is from RNAcentral.
UGGGGAAUAUUGGACAAUGGGGGCAACCCUGAUCCAGCAAUGCCGCGUGAGUGAUGAAGGCCUUCGGGUUGUAAAGCUCUUUUGGCGGGGACGAUGAUGACGGUACCCGCAGAAUAAGCCCCGGCUAACUUCGUGCCAGCAGCCGCGGUAAUACGAAGGGGGCUAGCGUUGUUCGGAAUUACUGGGCGUAAAGGGCGCGUAGGCGGUCCUGAUCGUCGGAUGUGAAAGGGCCUGGGGGCUCAACCUGGGAACUGCAUCCGAUACGGCGGGACUGGAGUGUGGGAGAGGUUGGUGGAAUUCCCAGUGUAGAGGUGAAAUUCGUAGAUAUUGGGAAGAACACCGGUGGCGAAGGCGGCCAACUGGACCACAACUGACGCUGAGGCGCGAAAGCGUGGGGAGCAAACAGGAUUAGAUACCCUGGUAGUCCACGCUGUAAACGAUGCGUGCUAGACGUUGGGCACCCUAGGUGUCCGGUGUCGUCGCUAACGCUUUAAGCACGCCGCCUGGGGAGUACGGCCGCAAGGUUAAAACUC